Cryptomeria japonica (Japanese cedar) is the source of this 1277-nucleotide long non-coding RNA. RefSeq lists it as uncharacterized. Lineage: Eukaryota; Viridiplantae; Streptophyta; Pinopsida; Cupressales; Cupressaceae. The transcript is spliced from 3 exons. The record is from RefSeq and is a predicted model, not a curated record.
AAUUCUUCAAGGGAAAUUAUUGGGAUGGGCAUACACUCGAAGGAAGUUCAAGUGCUUUGGAAGCUGUGAUUGGACACAGCUGCAGCUGAGAGGGAGUUCCAGCUAUUUUGGUAUAUCUUAAAGGGUUAUGAGACUUAGCUGUGCAGAUUGAAGAAAGCUCUGUAUGGCCUCAAACAGGCCUCCUGUGCUUGACAUUUGGAGCAGUAGGGGACCUCUACAAAGAAGCUGCAGCUGAAGUUGCAGGGGAAUGAUCAAGGAAAGGAAUGAAGAGGCAACCUACAAGAUACCACACAAAAGAGAGGGAUGUUAAACACAAGAAUGAUGCAAGGAAGGAGACGUUGUAACAAAGGAGGAAAGCUCUCUACAACACUUCAAGGAAGGACUUCAUGACAUGAGAAGAGACAAGGAACACACUACAAAGAAGGAGAAAAGAAAGCAUGACAAUACAAUUGUAAAGGAAGGGUAAGGAAUCAUCAUCACAAAGUGAAGAUUAACAUCAAGGAAGUAACAUGGAAAUUCAAGAAAACUUGUCAGGAUAAGGAGGUAAUCUAAGAUAGGAGAUUCAAGAUGGAGAGCCAUGCACGAAGAAGUUAUAGAUAUCCUAAGGAAGGAGUUUCCACACAAGAGACAGAGAAGGAAAAUGUGAUAAAGGUAGAAGAUAGUUCCAGAAGAGUUAAUCAAAGCUAGAAGACGAUGCAAUUUGGCAAUAUCUUCCACCUUCUUCACCUUAGGCGCUUGGAAAUGUUGAGUAUCAAGAGAUAUUGCUUGAAUCAUAGGCACUUGUGAUGAGUUACAAAGAACAAGCUGAGGUGACACCUAGUCAUCUUCAGCCCAAUCACAUCAUUCGAGGUCAAAGCAUCUAGAUUCAAUGCAGUUGACUUAUCCAUCAAGGAGGAUAACUACAAUAGGUGGAUGCACAAAGUUCGAUGUACCUAACCUCAUUCUUUAUUGGUCAACAUUCAAAGGACAUGUGUCUUAUUUAUUGUAAUUUUAUCAUUGGUCAAUCAUUAAAUGUUAUGUAAUGGGUUUAACAAACCACAAUUAGGGUUUCUAUCUUUCAAUUUUGGCCAUUGAUGUGGGUUUGAUCCUAGCCAUUCAGUUUUAUUGAGAGCACUAUAUAAGGCUCAAUUCUCUCAUUUGUAAAUGUUAAUAGUUCAAUAGUAGGUUAAUAGUCAAUAGAAGAUAGGUAGUAGAUAGCUAGAGUAGAGUAGGAGAUUGUUGCCAAGACUUUGUUGCAAGAAGUAUAUUAUUUUCAUUGAAGAUAUGGUUAAUUUCAU